CAAUAGCGUAUAUUAAAGUUGUUGCAGUUAAAAAGCUCGUAGUUGGAUUUCUGGUAGGAUGACUGUGCCCUCAGUAGAGUGUGCGCUGGCGUCUUGCCAUCCUUCUGUUAACCUUUGGGAGCUUCACCGCUCCCUUUGGGGCUCAGAUAUUUUACCUUGAGAAAAUUAGAGUGUUUCAGGCAGGCUAGCGCCGGAAUACAUUAGCAUGGAAUAAUGGAAUAGGACUUUUGCCUCUUCUGUUGGUCAUGGGGUUCGAGUAAUGAUUAAUAGGGAUAGUUGGGGGCAUUAGUACUUCACUGUCAGAGGUGAAAUUCUCGGAUUUGUGAAAGACUAACUUAUGCGAAAGCAUUUGCCAAGGAUGUUUNCAUUAA
Molecule: ribosomal RNA, 371 nt
Filed under: uncultured eukaryote
Lineage: Eukaryota
Description: partial 18S ribosomal RNA
Rfam family: Eukaryotic small subunit ribosomal RNA
Source: RNAcentral